RNAcentral lists this ribosomal RNA (492 nucleotides) under uncultured bacterium. RNAcentral describes it as "partial 16S ribosomal RNA". It matches the Rfam family "Bacterial small subunit ribosomal RNA", at positions 29 to 507 of the family's 1533-position model. The record is from RNAcentral.
AGUGAACGCUGGCGGUAGGCCUAACACAUGCAAGUCGAACGGCAGCACAGUAAGAGCUUGCUCUUACGGGUGGCGAGUGGCGGACGGGUGAGGAAUACAUCGGAAUCUACUUUUUCGUGGGGGAUAACGUAGGGAAACUUACGCUAAUACCGCAUACGACCUACGGGUGAAAGCAGGGGAUCUUCGGACCUUGCGCGAUUGAAUGAGCCGAUGUCGGAUUAGCUAGUUGGCGGGGUAAAGGCCCACCAAGGCGACGAUCCGUAGCUGGUCUGAGAGGAUGAUCAGCCACGCUGGAACUGAGACACGGGCCAGACUACUACGGGAGGCAGCAGUGGGGAAUAUUGGAGAAUGGGCGCAAGCCUGAGCCAGCCAUACCGCGUGGGUGAAGAAGGCCUUCGGGUUGUAAAACACUUUUGUUGGGAAAGAAAAGCAGCAGGUUAAUACCCCGCUGUUCUGACGGUACCCAAAGAAUAGGCACCGGCUAACUUCGUG